This 26-nucleotide non-coding RNA is filed under the name Mus musculus (house mouse). The record is from RNAcentral. Lineage: Eukaryota; Metazoa; Chordata; Mammalia; Rodentia; Muridae.
UGCCUAUGAACUCUUAGCCUCAAGAA